This is a long non-coding RNA of Mauremys mutica (yellowpond turtle), 1138 nucleotides long. RefSeq lists it as uncharacterized. Lineage: Eukaryota; Metazoa; Chordata; Testudines; Geoemydidae. The transcript is spliced from 2 exons. The record is from RefSeq and is a predicted model, not a curated record.
CACACAGGGGAGAGGCCUUAUGAAUGCAGCGAGUGUGGGAAAACUUUCAAUCGGAGCUCAAACCUUAUUACCCAUCAGAGAAUCCACACAGGAGAGCGGCCCUAUGAAUGCAGUGAGUGUGGGAAUACCUUCGCUUGGCACUCGGCCCAUGUUAGUCAUCAGAGAAUCUGUAAAAGAGCUCAACACCAUGAAAACCUCUAGGGCAGGCCUGCACAACUUGUAAAGCAGUGAGGGCCAUAUUACUCCAAAGAAAACAGCUGAGGGCUGAACUCCCCCAUCCCAGCGCUGCCAGAACACCACCCCCGCGCCCCCAAAACACAACACACACACACCCAAUGCUGCCUGCACUGUGGAAACAAACCCUCCUUCCCCAGCGCCACCCCGCUGAAACUGCUGUGGGCCAAAAAGGACGAUUGGGAGGGAUACUUUAUUAAGAAUUUUUCAAUUAAAGCAAACAAUUUUUAAAUUUUUUGUUAUGAAUCAUGGAAAAAUGAAAAACACCUGUUUCGUUGAAAGAAAACUUUGUACUUUUCAUAAUUACCUUGCAGAUUUAAUGAGAGAUAGUACAUCUCUUUUGGGCAACAAGCUUGUUGUAUUCAGGGGUCAUAUCUGAAGUGGAUAUUUUCAUAAUGUCUUCCAAAUGGUCGUCUAUCAGAUAAGAACAUUGCUUGUUUUUAUUCAUGUUCAUGUUGGAAAAUGUUUGUUCACAUAUGUAAGUGCUUCCAAAAAUGCUGAAUGUUUUCAGUGCAAUUUCAAUAGGAUUCUUGUAUUUUUCAUCAUCCAGACUUUUGUAGAAGUCCCACAGGUUGCUUUCUCUGUGCUUAUUUCAGUAAACUGCCGAACAUUGAAGUUCAAUAACCUCCAACUGCAAAUCUAGUGGCACUUCCUCUGGAUCCACAGAAAAGGGAUCUUCAAUCAGCUUCAACUGGACGUUGUCGUCUUUAGACAAACUGGAGCACCAUCAGUACAAAUGGCCACCAAGUUUGUGAAAUCUAAUCCCGACUGAUCAUUCAUGGACUUCAUCACUUCACUGGAGAUUUCUUUUCCGGUUGUGUGACCUGUCAUGGAGCACAUGCCAGCAAGUUCUUCUGUAAUUUCAAGGUUUUUAUCAAUACCUCUAAUAAAAAUAAGAAGUUGG